RNAcentral lists this ribosomal RNA (254 nucleotides) under uncultured bacterium. Its description in RNAcentral is "partial 16S ribosomal RNA". It matches the Rfam family "Bacterial small subunit ribosomal RNA", at positions 524 to 776 of the family's 1533-position model. The record is from RNAcentral.
UACAGAGGUCCCAAGCGUUGUUCGGAUUCAUUGGGCGUAAAGGGCGCGUAGGCGGCCACCGCAAGUCAGUUGUGAAAGCUCUGGGCUUAACCCAGAAAGGUCAACUGAUACUGCGGGGCUAGAGUGCAGAAGGGGCAACUGGAAUUCUCGGUGUAGCGGUGAAAUGCGUAGAUAUCGAGAGGAACACCUGCGGCGAAGGCGGGUUGCUGGGCUGACACUGACGCUGAAGUGCGAAAGCUAGGGGAGCGAACGGG